Molecule: ribosomal RNA, 423 nt
Filed under: uncultured bacterium
Lineage: Bacteria
Description: bacterial SSU rRNA
Rfam family: Bacterial small subunit ribosomal RNA
Source: RNAcentral
UAAGGAAUAUUGGGCAAUGGGCGCGAGCCUGACCCAGCCAUGCCGCGUGCAGGAAGACGGCCUUAUGGGUUGUAAACUGCUUUUGUCAGGGGAUAAACCUAUCUACGAGUAGAUAGCUGAAAGUACCUGAAGAAUAAGCAUCGGCUAACUCCGUGCCAGCAGCCGCGGUAAUACGGAGGAUGCGAGCGUUAUCCGGAUUCAUUGGGUUUAAAGGGUGCGCAGGCGGGGCAUUAAGUCAGUGGUGAAAUAAGACGGCUCAACUGUCUGGCUGCCAUUGAUACUGAUGUUCUAGAGUGUUAGUGGAGUGGGCGGAAUGUGUCAUGUAGCGGUGAAAUGCUUAGAUAUGACGCAGAACACCGAUCGCGAAGGCAGCUCACUAAGUUAAUACUGACGCUCAUGCACGAAAGCGUGGGGAUCAAACAG